GUCGAGCGAAGUCUUCGGACUUAGCGGCGGACGGGUGAGUAACGCGUGGGAACAUACCCUUUGGUACGGAAUAGCCUCGGGAAACUGGGAGUAAUACCGUAUGUGCCCUUCGGGGGAAAGAUUUAUCGCCAAAGGAUUGGCCCGCGUUGGAUUAGCUUGUUGGUGGGGUAAAGGCCUACCAAGGCGACGAUCCAUAGCUGGUCUGAGAGGACGAUCAGCCACACUGGGACUGAGACACGGCCCAGACUCC
RNAcentral lists this ribosomal RNA (250 nucleotides) under uncultured bacterium. RNAcentral describes it as "partial 16S ribosomal RNA". It matches the Rfam family "Bacterial small subunit ribosomal RNA", at positions 61 to 339 of the family's 1533-position model. The record is from RNAcentral.